GAUUUCUGGUUCGGCGCAAUAGGCCCGCCUCGGUUCACGAGGUUGCGUGCCGUUUGCGCCAUCCAUCCUUCGAGAAAAUACUUCUGCCCUUCACUGGGUUGGAUGUACUAUCUCGAUCUUUUACUUUGAAAAAAUUAGAGUGUUUAAAGCAGGCUUGCGCUAUGAAUACAUUAGCAUGGAAUAAUAAUUUAGGACUUUGGCCCUAUUUUGUUGGUUUCUAGGACUGAAGUAAUGAUUGAUAGGGAUAGUUGGGGGUGCUCGAAUUCAGCGGCCAGAGGUGAAAUUCUUGGAUUCGCUGAAGACGAACUCAUGCGAAAGCAUU
This 322-nucleotide ribosomal RNA is filed under the name uncultured cercomonad. RNAcentral's name for it is "SSU rRNA". The stretch from base 109 to 322 matches the Rfam family "Eukaryotic small subunit ribosomal RNA", at positions 740 to 955 of the family's 1831-position model. Lineage: Eukaryota; Cercozoa; Cercomonadida; Cercomonadidae. The record is from RNAcentral.